This 400-nucleotide ribosomal RNA is filed under the name uncultured bacterium. RNAcentral's name for it is "bacterial SSU rRNA". It matches the Rfam family "Bacterial small subunit ribosomal RNA", at positions 355 to 771 of the family's 1533-position model. The record is from RNAcentral.
UAGGGAAUCUUCCACAAUGGACGAAAGUCUGAUGGAGCAACACCGCGUGGUCGAUGAAGCCCCUUGGGGUGUAAAGACCUUUUCUGGGAGAAGAAUUAUGACGGUAUCCUAGGAAUAAGCACCGGCUAACUCUGUGCCAGCAGCCGCGGUAAUACAGAGGGUGCGAGCGUUAUCCGGAAUUAUUGGGCGUAAAGCGUCCGCAGGCGGUUUGUUAAGUAGGAUAUUAAAGCCAGCAGCUCAACUGUUGUAAAGUAUCCUAAACUGGCAGACUAGAGACUCAUAGAGGUAUGUGGAAUUCUGCAUGUAGGGGUAAAAUCCGUAGAUAUGCAGAGGAACACCAAAAGCGAAAGCAGCAUACUGGAUGAGUUCUGACGCUCAGGGACGAAAGCGUGGGGAGCAA